UGCAAGAUGGAAUAAUCGGUUAGUUCACUAGGCUCAUGCCCUAGAAGUAUAGGUUCAAGUCCUAUUCUUGCAC
Molecule: transfer RNA, 73 nt
Filed under: Chloropicon sp. RCC4434
Lineage: Eukaryota; Viridiplantae; Chlorophyta; Chloropicophyceae; Chloropicales; Chloropicaceae
Description: tRNA-fMet
Rfam family: tRNA
About the family: Transfer RNA (tRNA) molecules are approximately 80 nucleotides in length.
Source: RNAcentral